Molecule: RNA transcript, 7005 nt
Organism: Oreochromis niloticus (Nile tilapia)
Lineage: Eukaryota; Metazoa; Chordata; Actinopteri; Cichliformes; Cichlidae
Exons: 3
Source: RefSeq, a predicted model, not a curated record
AUUCACAGACACAGAAAGUGGCAUUUAAAAGGUUAAAUCAUCACGCAACCUCGAAUGUUGUUGUCAUCUUUCUGCUCCUGUAAAAAGAAACACACAUAGAUUCAUCUGCACCUUUGUCAGUGUGCUGCCCCUUUAAGGCAGGCAUGGUAAUUUGGGUGUGUGUUUUUUGUACCAGCAGACUUGCCGUAGUACCUCACCAGUGAAAAACAGUCCUGUAGCCAAACUGUUGUCUGUUCCACUUUUUGUUCACUUUUUCUUGCUGAGCCUGAGAGAGCACAUGCCUUUUUACAGUGCUUCAACAGUAAACAUCUAAAACGUAUCCGCUGACUCCUGGAUGUUUAUUGUGGACCUGUUAGCUAUCUGCCAAGCUAGAAACCAGCUUCACAUCCUAGUGAGGGCAGAAUAGUAAAAAGGCAUCGUCCCAACACGGCUACCUACAGAAAAGUGGAUCUGCGUGGAAACACAGUUUCUUCUGUUUCUUCUAAGCUACAAUGGAUAGUAACGACGACACGCUUGAGACGCGGUCAAUAUGCUCCAACACCUCACGUGCCAGUCAGCGCUCUUCAGCCAGUGUCAUUGCAGCCAGGGCACGGGCAAAAGCAGAGGCUGCACGUGCUCAAGCACUAUUUGCACAAAAAGAGGCAGAUAUGUUAAAAGCACAAGCAUAUAUUGAGGAGGAACAACAAAAAGCAGCAGCUGAGGCUGCCAGGAAGAAAGCAGAGCUGCAGGCCAGUUUGCAUACCUUGAGACUAGAGGGCGCGGCUGCAGCUGCCAUUGCUGAAGCGAAUGUUCUUGAAGCAGCUGUUGAGAAUGAAUUUGGGGAGUUAGAUCGGGUUAGCCUGAAAAAUGAAUACGUUGAGCAUAAUCCAAGUCCUGAACCUCACCAAGACUCAGAGCUACCAGAACUCAUGCCAACUCUGAUGCACCAACUACCAGUCGACAGUGAUGAGAUCAGCAAAUACGACUUGCCUGUUCAGAGAACAUCCAAAUUGAGUCAAGAUGCCACUUCCUAUUACCCUCAUACUCAAAGCCCCUGCAGGACAGGCCCAUUCAAGCAAGAACAUUCACACAGCUUAAAUCCAUCCAAGGAUACGUACAGACACCAGACACAGUCACAUGAUAUGAGACAAUACAGCAGUAGCUACCAACCGCCUCAGCCUCAUACAGGUGCUGCCAGAACUGACGAGCCCACUUCAUCAUCGACUACAGACCUGGCCAAGUAUCUAAUACGGCGAGAGAUGAUAAGCUCUGGGCUGUUAAGGUUCGACGAUCAGCCGGAAAACUAUUGGGCCUGGAAGCAAUCCUUCCACAGUUCUACAGAGGACUUAAAACUGACGUCAAGAGAGGAGCUUGAUCUGCUAUGUAAAUGGCUGGGACCAAAGUCAUCAGAGCAUGCUAAGAGGAUACGAGCGGUCCACAUACACGAUGCAGCUGCAGGUGUAAGAAUGGUAUGGCAAAGGUUGGAAGACUGCUAUGGAUCGCCGGAAGCAAUUGAAGAAGCUCUCCUAAAGAAACUGGAUGAUUUUCCAAGAAUCUCAAAUCGAGAAAAUCAAAAGCUGAGAGAGCUGGGAGACAUUCUCUUGGAGCUUGAAGCCGCCAGAGCCGAUGGGUUCCUACCAGGCCUCAGUUACCUGGACACAUCUCGGGGCAUCACUCCAAUCGUCCAAAAGUUACCAUACUCCCUGCAUGACAAGUGGGUCUCUCUAGCAUCUCGUUACAAAGAAAGUCAUCAAGCGUCUUACCCACCGUUCUCCUUCUUCGCAAAGUUUGUUUGUGAUCAAGCCAAAAUGCUCAAUGAUCCAAGCUUUGCCCCUCUUACAGGUGGCUGGAGGACAGGGAAGCCAGAACACCCCUUCAAAUCAAACAUGAAAAUACCCAUUUCUGUCAAAAAGACAGAAGUCUCCUCAAACUCUAAAAGCAUGCAAGCCAGCCCCUCAGGGAAGAGGAGGGCCGAACCAGAUGAACAAUGCCCACUCCAUAACAAACCACACCCCCUCAGAAACUGUCGUGGGUUUAGGAGUAAAUCUUUAGAUGAAAGGAAAGCUUAUCUUAAAGAGAAUAGUAUUUGCUUUAACUGCUGCGCUUCAUUCACUCAUCUAGCGAAAGACUGCCACAAAAACGUUCAGUGCAGAGAGUGCAGGAGUGAGAACCACCCUACUGCGCUACACCCAGGGCUGGCCCCCUGGAUAUCAGAGACUCCUGUAACCACAAGAGAGCAAGGCGGGGAGCAAGAAGAAGAAGCUCCUCAAGCUGUCACAGCAAAAUGCACAGACAUUUGUGGGACUACCGUCAGAGCAAAGUCGUGCUCCAAAAUCUGUCUUGUCAGAGUUUAUCCAGCUGGCCAGAGGGAGAAAGCUGUUAAGGCGUACGUUGUUCUCGACGAGCAAAGCAACAAGUCUUUGGCAAGAACAGAGUUUUUUGAGCUCUUUGGAGUUACAGAGGGCACGGCAGCAUACACCUUGAAGACCUGCUCAGGAGUUAUGGAAACAACAGGGCGCCGAGCUAACAAUUUCAUCAUGGAGUCAUUAGAUGGUAAGACUCACAUUCCACUCCCCACCUUAAUCGAAUGUGACAUGCUCCCUGAUGAUAAGUCUGAAAUCCCCACACCGGAGAUCGCCAGACAUUAUCCACAUUUCAAACGGGUUGUGGAUAAAAUCCCGGCUAUAGAUCCAUCAGCAAGCAUCCUGAUCUUGCUCGGUCGAGAUGUACCACAGGCACACAAGGUUCGAGAGCGAUGCAAUGGGCCCCACGAUGCCCCCUACGCCCAGCGUCUCGACUUGGGAUGGGUGAUUGUGGGAGAGGUUUGUCUCGGAAGAGCUCACAAACCGGAGUUUGUAAACGUCCAUCGGUGCAACGUGCUGAGUAACGGUCGUACAUCUCUGUUUGACCCUUGCACUAACAGUCUACACAUCAAAGAGAAGCUUGACACUCCAGAGCAGCAUCGUCAGUUUCUAGGAGCUAACGCAGCCGAAAUCCUGUUUGAUGGGAAAGAUGGCCUUGGGGAAGGGGUCUUCCAGCAAACGCCAUAUGACAACAAGCCUGCCAUGUCUGUGGAAGACAAACUCUUUCUGGAAAUAAUGGACAACGAGUUCUUCAUAGACGACUCGAAUAGUUGGGUGGCACCACUACCCUUCAGGCAACCAAGGCGCAAACUCCCUAACAACCGAGCCCAAGCAGUCAAGCGUCUUUUGACACUACGGCACAUGCUGGAGAAGAAGCCAGACAUGAAAGAACACAUGAUUGCCUUCAUGCAGAAGAUCUUUGAGGCAGGUCAUGCUGAACCAGUACCACCAACCACUGGUGAACAGGAGUGCUGGUAUUUACCAAUCUUUGGAGUGUAUCAUCCACGAAAACCAGAUCAGGUACGGGCAGUGUUCGACUCCAGCGCUAAGCAUGAUGGUGUCUCACUGAAUGACAUCCUGCUGAGUGGCCCUGACUUGAAUAAUUCACUUUUAGGAGUCCUCAUCCGCUUCCGCAAGGAACCUGUAGCGGUGGCAGCAGACAUAGAACAGAUGUUCUAUUGUUUCAAAGUCCGCCAUGAUCACCGGGACUUUCUACGUUUCUUCUGGUUCGAGGACAAUGACCCCACCAAGCGCAUCACAGAGUAUAGGAUGACCGUGCACGUAUUCGGCAACAGCCCCUCUCCCGCUGUUGCCAUAUACGGCUUGAGAAGAGCAGCUCUGCAAGGACAGGAAGACCACAGUGCAGAGGCAAAACAGUUUGUUCUAAAGAACUUCUACGUGGACGAUGGUCUUGCUUCCUUCCCCACCGAUGACAACGCCAUCCGAGUCCUGAAGGAAACCAAGGAGAUGUUGGCUGAUUCCAACAUACGGCUACAUAAGAUAGCCUCCAACCACGACGUAGUAGUGGAGGCGUUUCCACCUGAGGAACGGGCUAAAGAGCUGAAAGACCUAGAGCUAGGUGUGGAUCCGUUGCCUAUGCAGAGAAGCUUAGGUCUCAACUGGCACCUUCAAACCGACAGCUUUACCUUUCUUGUCUCCCAGGAGGAGAAGCCCUUUACCCGUAGAGGUAUUCUCUCCACAGUUAACAGCAUAUUCGACCCGUUGGGGUUUGCAGCUCCUAUUGUAGUCCAGGGCAAGGCGAUAGUCAGAGAGCUAUGCGCUGAGCAUUGCGAUUGGGACACCCCAAUACCUGCUGAAAAAGUGGCACAGUGGAAGUCUUGGAGAGACUCGCUGAAGGCACUCGAGCAACUUCACAUACCAAGGCCAUACCUACCUGUUUCCCUGCUUUCCACACAGCACAGGGAGUUAUGUGUCUUUUGCGACGCGUCCACCAUGGCCAUCUCUGCAGUUGCCUACCUAAGGGCAGUGGAUGAUGAAGGACACUGUCUUGUAGGAUUCUGCAUGGGGAAAUCUAAAUUAGCACCCCGGCAUUCCCAUACUGUUCCCCGUCUAGAGCUUUGUGCGGCCGUACUAGCAGUUGAGCUGGCUGAUAUCUUGAGGGAUGAGCUAGAUGUCGAAAUCCACACAGUGAAGUUUUACACAGACUCCAGAGUUGUGCUGGGCUACAUCUACAACGCCAACCGGAGAUUUUAUGUGUAUGUUGCUAACAGAGUAGCACGCAUCCGGAAGUCUUCACAGCCUGAACAGUGGCACUUUGUCAGUUCGGAACACAAUCCUGCCGACCAUGGUACCAGACCAGUUCCAGCUGCACUGUUGAGAGAUACAAACUGGUUUUCUGGGCCGUCGUUUCUUGAGAAGGAUGAGAGAGUUGCGUUUACCCCACCAGAGUUCUUUGAGCUUGUUGAACCAGACAGGGAUGCAGAUGUGCGUCCACUGAUUGCAACCUUUGCUACAGGAGCUUCUGAAAGACAGCUUGGUUCACACAGGUUUGAGCGCUUUUCCAGCUGGAAGACACUUGUAUGUGGCAUAGCAAAGCUCAUCCAGAAAGUCAGAUCCUGUGCUAAGACUCUGGGGGGAGAUUCGACAAAGGUGGAUGAGCGUACACAGGCAAGAACAGUAAUCGUACAGACUGUACAGCACGAGGCCUUCAAAGAAGAACUCAAGAGCCUGUUCAAAGGAGAGCUUGUCCCAAAACACAGUCCUCUCAGGAAACUUGACCCUUUCUUGGAUUCAGAUGGUGUACUGAGAGUUGGUGGCCGCACGUCAUUAUCCGCAAUCUCAUGGGAAGAGAAACAUCCUAUAAUCAUUCCCAAAAGCAACCACAUUGCUACCUUGUUGGUGCGGCAUUAUCAUGAGCAAGUAGUACACCAAGGUAGGCACUUCACGGAAGGGGCCAUCAGAUCCGCUGGACUGUGGAUUCUGGGAGGAAAAAGACUUCUAUCAAGUAUCAUACACAAGUGUGUCACCUGUAGGCGGUUGAGAGGAAGUCUGGAAAAACAAAAAAUGUCCGACUUACCUGCUGAUCGGUUGAUCCAAUCUCCUCCUUUCACCCAAGUUGGAUUAGAUGUUUUUGGACCAUGGACGGUUUGUGCCCGUCGCACAAGGGGAGGCCUUGCAGAGAGUAAGCGCUGGGCUGUUAUGUUUACCUGUUUAGUAACCAGGGCAGUUCACCUGGAGGUGAUAGAAUCUCUGUCUACGUCGAGCUUCAUAAAUGCGCUUAGGCGAUUCACUGCCAUCAGAGGUCCAGCAAAGCUCUUUCGUUCAGACCGAGGCACGAACUUUGUCGGUGCAUGUAAAGAACUUGGUAUAACCCCACAAGAUGCAACACUUCAGUCUUACCUGAAAGACCAAGGCUGCACAUGGGACUUCAAUCUUCCACACUCCAGCCACAUGGGGGGAGCAUGGGAAAGAAUGAUAGGGAUGGCUCGCCGCAUUUUGGAUAGCAUGUUACUCAAGAUGCAUUCCCCUAGUCUUUCACACGAAGUGCUCACCACGCUGAUGGCAGAGGUUGCAGCCAUCAUGAAUGCCCGGCCAAUAGUCCCUGUGUCUUCAGAUCCAGACAUGCCGAUCAUACUCACCCCUGCUAUGCUUUUAACACAAAAGGUGGACUCCGUGUCUGCUCCCUUGGAAGACAUUGACCUCAAGGAUCUCUACCGAAGUCAGUGGAAGCAAGUUCAAAGCCUUGCGGAUUCAUUCUGGAAAAGAUGGCGUCAAGAGUACCUGACGACACUCCAGCCGAGAAGGAAAUGGCAAGCAGAACAAGCCAGCCUGCAAGUUGGAGAUGUUGUGCUCCUAAAGGACAAGGAGGCUAAACGAAAUCAAUGGCCCACAGGACUUGUGGUAAAUACCUUUCCGGGUCAAGACAGCAGGGUCCGGAAAGUGGAGGUGAGAGUUGUUCAAGGAGGCACCCCCAGGGUGUAUUCAAGACCCGCCACUGAAGUUGUGUUGUUACUCAGAGGGACAUAGUGGUAUAGUCCUCUAUACCAGGCGGGGAGUGUGCUGCCCCUUUAAGGCAGGCAUGGUAAUUUGGGUGUGUGUUUUUUGUACCAGCAGACUUGCCGUAGUACCUCACCAGUGAAAAACAGUCCUGUAGCCAAACUGUUGUCUGUUCCACUUUUUGUUCACUUUUUCUUGCUGAGCCUGAGAGAGCACAUGCCUUUUUACAGUGCUUCAACAGUAAACAUCUAAAACGUAUCCGCUGACUCCUGGAUGUUUAUUGUGGACCUGUUAGCUAUCUGCCAAGCUAGAAACCAGCUUCACAUCCUAGUGAGGGCAGAAUAGUCAGGUGGGGGUUAACUUCACACAGUGAUGUCAGUCAGUCUGUCAGCUUCUGUCCGCUUUUACCAGUCAGUCAGUUUUAUUUUCUCUCACUCAUUCAUUCAUGCAUUCAUUCAUUCUUUCUUUGCUGACGGUGGAAAUUAUUGUCGCAUUUUCAUUUCCACUUCUCAGCAAAAUGACGUCAUUUCAAAAAGAAAAGAAGAACUUUAUAUUGGAUUCUCUCGCUUAAUCCUUUUUUGGGUAGGGACCUAUUUUCUAAUUGUCCCAUAUAAGUGACUUUCUCCAGAGCCCAUUGUAAUCUUUUGGAGAAACUCACUUGCAACAAUUUUCUCGACGACACGUCGUAUAGCGCUUCUGUUCUAAU